CGCCUUCUUUCGCCUUCUUCUCACCUUGUUCUCUCCUACACAUUCACAGAAAGCCAUCUUUCAAGCAAAUGCAACAAGUUGACAAGUGAGCUAGUGCGUGACGCAAGCGUGCCAUAUGUUUGGUGAUUCGCACGGGGUACGAGGAAAGGCAGUCUUCACACGUGUUGAUUGGAGAAUCAAGAUCUUUUGUGUGGAUGAUGUUCUGUCCCAAACAUCACCAUAACUGGUAUAACUGAAUAACAACAAUGGAGGAGCGUUGCUUUUUAUGCUUGGCGUCAGAAAAGAAUCAGGUGAGCAUAUGCUCUGAGUUAUUGCCAUUAUACUAUAUUACCUCCUAGCGAAAGUAUCUCUUUGUUUUCUUUACUCUAUUGAGCUUUUAUUUCC
Molecule: long non-coding RNA, 384 nt
Organism: Dioscorea cayenensis subsp. rotundata (Guinea yam)
Lineage: Eukaryota; Viridiplantae; Streptophyta; Magnoliopsida; Dioscoreales; Dioscoreaceae
Exons: 3
Source: RefSeq, a predicted model, not a curated record